CGCGACUCACGUUUCUAAGGCACCGCGUGAAGCAGAAGAAUGACGCACGUCGAAAGGAAUGCCGGGAAAACUACUGUAUGUGUGAAUGAGUCCCAUUAGCCUCGUCUAACCGCUACUCGAGCACAAUUUUCUGUUUACAUUAAGAAACAUAAUUACAGAAAUGGCGGGAAGCGCUGGGGAAUGGUGUCUUAUGGAAAGCGACCCUGGAGUUUUCACAGAGCUGAUAAAGGGCUUUGGAUGCAAAGGUGCACAGGUAGAAGAGAUAUGGAGCAUGGAGCCAGAAAACUUUGAAAAUCUCAAGCCCGUUCAUGGUCUGAUUUUCCU
Molecule: long non-coding RNA, 324 nt
Organism: Sinocyclocheilus rhinocerous
Lineage: Eukaryota; Metazoa; Chordata; Actinopteri; Cypriniformes; Cyprinidae
Exons: 3
Source: RefSeq, a predicted model, not a curated record